UACGGGGGGGGCAAGCGUUGUUCGGAAUUACUGGGCGUAAAGGGCUCGUAGGCGGCCAACUAAGUCAGACGUGAAAUCCCCAGGCUUAACCUGGGAACUGCGUCUGAUACUGGAUGGCUUGAGAUUGGGAGAGGGAUGCGGAAUUCCAGGUGUAGCGGUGAAAUGCGUAGAUAUCUGGAGGAACACCGGUGGCGAAGGCGGCAUCCUGGACCAACACUGACACUGAGGAGCGAAAGCCAGGGGAGCAAACGGG
This 253-nucleotide ribosomal RNA is filed under the name uncultured bacterium. RNAcentral describes it as "partial 16S ribosomal RNA". It matches the Rfam family "Bacterial small subunit ribosomal RNA", at positions 524 to 776 of the family's 1533-position model. The record is from RNAcentral.